RNAcentral lists this long non-coding RNA (263 nucleotides) under Lotus japonicus. RNAcentral's name for it is "long non-coding RNA (LJAP_LNC000490)". Lineage: Eukaryota; Viridiplantae; Streptophyta; Magnoliopsida; Fabales; Fabaceae. The record is from RNAcentral.
CACCUACAUAACAUAUAAGGAGUAAACUAAACAUCUUCACACCACAAGAUCAUAUGUUUAUAAUCUACGCUCUGAAGUGACAAUUUCGUAGUCCACACACAAAUCAAGAAUUACAAAAGCUCAGAGUAAGACUACUACUAAUAAUGUAAUUGCAACUUCAAAAUUUACUGGAACACCAUGAUUUUCUAGUAUUCAGACUUUCCUUGAAACAAGUGGUAAACAUCAUCUAAAGCUGCUUGUUUCUCCUGAAAAACAUGUAAAAC